AUUGAACGCUGGCGGCAGGCCUAACACAUGCAAGUCGAACGAGUGGCGGACGGGUGAGUAAUGUCUGGGAAACUGCCUGAUGGGGGGGGAUAACUACUGGAAACGGUAGCUAAUACCGCAUACCAUCAGAUUUGCCCAGAUGGGAUUAGCAUGUUGGUGGGGUAACGGCUCACCAGGGCGACGAUCCCUAGCUGGUCUGCGAGGAUGACCAGCCACAUUGGAACUAGUACACGUUCCAAACUCCUACGGUGGGCAGCGGUGGGGAAUAUUGCACAAUGAGCGCAAGCCUGAUGCAGCCAUGCCGCGUGUAUGAAGAAGGCCUUCGGGUUGUAAAGUACUUUCAGCGGGGAGGCGUUACCCGCAGAAGAAGCACCGGCUAACUCCGUGCCAGCCGCCGCGGUAAUUC
This 406-nucleotide ribosomal RNA is filed under the name uncultured bacterium. RNAcentral's name for it is "partial 16S ribosomal RNA". It matches the Rfam family "Bacterial small subunit ribosomal RNA", at positions 30 to 526 of the family's 1533-position model. The record is from RNAcentral.